RNAcentral lists this long non-coding RNA (1195 nucleotides) under Gallus gallus (chicken). Its description in RNAcentral is "lncRNA (ENSGALG00010029061.1)". The record is from RNAcentral. Lineage: Eukaryota; Metazoa; Chordata; Aves; Galliformes; Phasianidae.
GAGAAACGCUCUCUUGUCUCAGGUUCCACCAGGCACAGCUCUCAGUGCAGCAGCAAAGCUCAUUCCUGAUUGCUGUGCCGUUACUGCACUCUCCUCUGUGAGCUCCUUCUGCUCCUGUAGCUCUCCUCCCAUGGCACCCACUGCUCUCCUGUUCCCCCUUGGCUGGGCACUGCAGGCUCACAGUCUCCACCACGCAUCCGCUGUGCAGUAUUUCCAGAGGAGGUCUAUGGCCAACGUGUUCCUUUCGGGCUGAUUGUGUGCUUUUCUAUGCAGACAGGCAGGCAGGACUUCUUGCAGCUGUUGCACGUGCUGGGUCUCAUGCUCCGUCCUGCAGCUGUGCCUUAUCUCGUGUGCACUCUCCACCUCCCCCUGGUCAGAACGUCCUGGCCCUGCUGUGCUCUGCUCAGCAUCUGUCUGCUGCACAAUGACACAGCUGUCACACUGAGCCUGCCUUGUGCUAUCCCUGCAGAUGUUGGAUGAUUUCCUCUGCCACUCUCCCACCCGUAACCGCUCGGGUGCUUUCCAGCAGCACACAGCUGGCACACAGAGCCAUGCUGACCACGGCAGGGUGCAGCUCCUUGUUGCAGUCCCGCAGCGGUGGGUGUCCGUGCCAAAGGGGGAUCCCACCGCUGCUGCUCUCCAUCCUUCUGCGCUCGUUCUGCACCACCGUGCAUUCCUUCCUCCUCGUGCUGCGCUGCCCUCAGAGUGCUCUGCCCAUUUCUCGGGGUCGUUGCAGCAGCUGCUGCAAGUGCUGAUGUUGGAGCAGUUUCUUCCCCACCGCGAGAUCCCUUCCAAGAGGCACUGCCCCUACUGCUGCAACGGCCCCACUCUGCGACGCCCUUUUGUAAGGAGUUGUGUUGUUCGUUCUGCAGCUGACUUGGAUUUCUUCUGCCACUGUCCCGAGAAGGAGUUGAUUUGCUUCAGUCCAUCCCUGCUCCGUUCCUGGUUCAAGCCAAGCUCCAGUCCCUUCCCUGGUCUCAGUGGGAUCAGUUUGUUCUGUUCUCAUGCACUUACAGAAACAGAAGCUACCAACCCACCAAACCCUGGGACAGAAAACGCCGUCCUUUUGCUGAACUUUGCUCAUUGUACACCCGCCAUCACAGCAAAAAACGCUCAGUGCUGCCCUGGGAAACUCCGCAAUCUCCACAGCGUUGCUCUCCAAGUUAGCACGCUCAUGGCCAGGCUGUGUUCCCUG